AACCAGUGAUGAAACUAGAUUCUGCCAAAUGAAUGUCCAUGAUAUUACUCCUUUCCGUUCCAUUUACUCUGAGGUU
Small nucleolar RNA from Chelonoidis abingdonii (Abingdon island giant tortoise), 76 nucleotides. The record is from Ensembl. NCBI's taxonomy places the organism in Eukaryota, Metazoa, Chordata, Testudines, Testudinidae.